RNAcentral lists this long non-coding RNA (217 nucleotides) under Ananas comosus (pineapple). RNAcentral describes it as "long non-coding RNA (ACOM_LNC033381)". The record is from RNAcentral. Lineage: Eukaryota; Viridiplantae; Streptophyta; Magnoliopsida; Poales; Bromeliaceae.
ACGGCCAAAGAGGAUUGCGGCACGUGCGAAGCGGUAGAGGUUGAACGGCUGCGGUGAGGGGAGAGAGAGAGAAAGAGAGAGAGAGAGAGAGAGAGAGAGAGAGAGAGAGAGAUGGUCGAGCGAGGGAGAGAGGAGUCAUGCGGGAGAAAUCAGAAAAAGAAUCAGGUGAGGGUUAGCAUGAAAGAAAAUUAAUUAAGUUAGAUACAAAUAAAAUAAC